This 98-nucleotide ribosomal RNA is filed under the name Acanthosepion pharaonis. Lineage: Eukaryota; Metazoa; Mollusca; Cephalopoda; Sepiida; Sepiidae. The record is from RNAcentral.
UUGAAACACCACUUCCUGUACAAUCACUGAAGUUAAGCAACAUUGAGACUGGUCAGUACCUAGAUGGGUGACUGCUUAGGAAUACCAGGUGCUGUAAG